RNAcentral lists this ribosomal RNA (404 nucleotides) under uncultured bacterium. Its description in RNAcentral is "bacterial SSU rRNA". It matches the Rfam family "Bacterial small subunit ribosomal RNA", at positions 975 to 1375 of the family's 1533-position model. The record is from RNAcentral.
CAGGGUUUGACAUGCCGGUAGUACCGACCUGAAAGGGAAGGGAUCCCGCAAGGGAAGCCGGCACAGGUGGUGCAUGGCUGUCGUCAGCUCGUGUCGUGAGAUGUUGGGUUAAGUCCCGCAACGAGCGCAACCCUCGCCCUCUGUUGCCAGCGGGUCAUGCCGGGCACUCUGAGGGAACUGCCCCGGUCAACGGGGAGGAAGGCGGGGACGACGUCAAGUCAUCAUGCCCCUUACGCCCUGGGCUACACACGUGCUACAAUGGCCGGUACAGAGGGCUGCAAACCCGCGAGGGGGAGCCAAUCCCACAAAGCCGGUCUAAGUUCGGAUUGCAGGCUGCAACUCGCCUGCAUGAAGGAGGAAUCGCUAGUAAUCGCGCAUCAGCACGGCGCGGUGAAUACGUUCCC